GCUCAUAAUAUAUUUAUUGAAAAAGAUUAUUCCUGGAAAAAAUUUACAAACAUACCUAACAAUUGGUCUUCUUUUUUUCGUUUUUACCUAAGCUUUGGUGCAUCUAAAGUCUAAACUAUUAAAAGUGGCAAGAGUUGAAAUUGAGCACAAAUGUGCUUUUGAAGACUCUAGAAGAUGAAAAAUGAAAGUAGAGGAGAAAAGAUGUAGAGAGAGAAUUCUCUCUGCAGAUCUUAGAUCUAGAUUCAAAAUUUGAAUCUUUCCGGUGGUCCGUCUUCCCCAGCCUCUUCCUCCGCUCCGCUUCUCCAUGAGGUCCCACUUUGUAGCUGUGCCAAUGUCUAUUCUCCAGCCCGUUUACUCUGCAGUGACAAGUCGGAGCAGUCGGCUCAAGACUCACACCAACCUCCAUCUCCGUCGGUUGACUUCUCUGGUGCUCCCUCCACCAGAUCCACCAGACCCACCGGAUCCACCAAACUUACCGUCCUCGUUGAACGGUUCUCCACGACGCUCCCUUACGUCAAUCUCUAAUCCGCCGUCUCCAAACUCUUCACAAAUUCCAAGCUUUCCUCGAAGCUCCUCCAUCAUCUCAAUCCCGACAGGUUCUUGUCGUGCCGUUCAUUGUUGUUGCUCCGGCGAGUGCUCUGUUUCUGCAUUAACCUGUCUCGCCAGUCAUUCCUGCUGCUUUGGCCAUGUCAUGGUUGAAGCCCAAGUGGUUCCUUUGGAGCCGCCUGACCCUUCUCCACCUGAUGUGUCUCUGCUUCUUCAGAUGCAACCUUUGGCACGAGCUUUAACUUUCAGUGCGGUGUGUAAUUUCUCUGACACAAGCAUAUCUUCUCUGCCUUGGCCACUACUCCAUUUUGAAGCCAAUUCGGUAACUCUCUUGAGUUCCUUGGUGCUUGAUUUUGGGUUCUUAUGUGGCCUCCUUACUGUAGAUUGCAGUUUCUUUUCCGGAUUCCUUCCGGUCCUUUCAAGUGCUAUCAUAUCUGCUACAUGUGUUUUGAAAGACUUACGACAAGUCCAUAUGAUUUGGGAAUAUUUGUUAGCUGAUUUAGUUAAGCGAGUUGGGUGGGAUAAAAAAUAUAUUUUAACAUUGAUAGUUGCCCAUGUUAUUGUGUUCCGUGGUGAUGUGCUAAUGGACUUAGCUUCCUUUGGUUCCACCUUUGUGUCCUCUAGUGACAUUUAUGUCGCCCUGUUGCGAUCUCUUACUGCAGUUUGCAGUCCUCUUAUGAUAUCCAUUCCGGCUGUUGGUGUUGUGUUUUGUUUUUUCUCUCCUUGGUGGCAGGUGGAUGAGAAACCCAUUGUUAUCUUCAGCCCGAUGAAUAUGAUUGUAGCGAGUUCUGAUGUCCCAUUUGUCUCAUAUUUGGAGCAGUCUCAUUUCCCAAUAUUUCCUCUUAUAUGGAGUGAAUUGGAUGAACAAGCGUCGUUGGUAUUGCAAGGAUCUUCCUCCCAUCGAAUGCUCUUUUCUGCGUCUGGUGCAGUGUGUGUAGUCCUAUGGGUUACACUAGAUGCGAUCUUUCGAGAAGCUUAUGAAGCCGUUUUUGAUACGAUUUCUUAUGGUUCUUCUUGUGAUCUGUAUCGCCAUUCUAUCUAUCGUUUUGAUACGAUUUCUUAUGGUCUCUUCUUUUGUUUAGCUCGCAGUAGCUUUUAUGUAUCCUCCUUUGAUGGAGUUUAAACUUUUCUAAGAUAAAUGCAAGUAUGGUUUGACCAAAAAAAAAAGACUCUAGAAGAUGAAAAGAAAAGUGAUUGGUGCAGUUUAAAAACGUAGAAAAAUUGGCUCAUAAUAGAUUUUUGAGGCAAGGCCCAACAAAGUGCCACCUUAACAGAUAUCCAGAGAAAGAUAAUGAAUGGGUUGCCUGGAAUAUCGAAGCCCAUGUAGUGAAGUCAAUUUGUCGAGGACGGCGAGAAGACAGAUGAUCGCCUGAAGAGGGAGAUUGGAAGCUGCAUGCAUUUUCUCAAUAGGUGAAAACGAUCGGAUCAAGAGAGGGAGAGCCAAAGCUGAAUGCAAUCACUGGAGCAGACUGGAUCCGAAUCUCUGAAGGAUGAGAUUUUGUGUUUAAUCAAAGCAGAGAUGUGGUCGCUGAUUGGUUAAGGCGAUUUGAAGAUUUGAUUGUGGAGUCGUUGAUUUCGCUAGGCCUGCAAAGCUAAAAGUGAGAGAUAACGAAGAUUCUUAUCACCAGAGAGAGAGAGAUUAGACCAGAGAUAGUAUCUUCCAAUCAUCAGAAGCGAAGUUGAAGCGUAACUUAGAGUUGAGAGGGCCACUAAAACAAUUAAUCUAAGUGACUUCACCGACAUAAACGGAAAAAAAAGUCAUCUUAAGGUGAAGAACUUCAUCUCUCUUUCGUAUGUCGAUCCUUAGAGGUCUUGAUCUUAAAGUAUGUGUUCAGAGCAGAAGAAUUUUAAAGAACCCACGGUGAUAGAGUCAACCGGAAUCGACAUACUGUAAGUGAGUAUAGGUGUUUAUAGAUUAGAUGAAGAAUCUUGCGACUUGCUUGUUCGUUUGGUUGCCGCGGAUUUUGGCGUCUGCGUCAGCGUCGUUUGGUUGUUGUUCGUUUUGCCGACGCCGACGCCGACGCCGACACUGCCGCAGCCGCAGCCGUAUAUUGUUGUUCGUUUCUAAGCUGCAGGAAGUUAACGCUGACGCAGGAAGCAAGUUUUGGUUUGUUUGUUUAACAGACGCUGUGGCUAUUUUCAUUUAUUCAUUUUUUAUUUUUUAAAAAUUGUAAAAUUAUAUUUUAAAUAAAUAAAAUGUAGCUUAAAUA
This is an RNA transcript of Brassica napus (rape), 2756 nucleotides long. RefSeq lists it as uncharacterized. The record is from RefSeq and is a predicted model, not a curated record. NCBI's taxonomy places the organism in Eukaryota, Viridiplantae, Streptophyta, Magnoliopsida, Brassicales, Brassicaceae. The transcript is spliced from 2 exons.